CUACCCACAGCAAGCAACGGGCUUUCCGAAAUAGAAACCACUAAAAAGCAAGCAUUCAGAAUGUACAGCCAGAAGUAGCCGGUACAAGCCGAGCUACGAGGCUCCGGCUCCGGGCUGUUCACGUGACCAAUCCCUACUUGUCAACUCUCUUUGCCGAGCGUGGUCGCAUCGUUUCGUGCGGUACGUGCCAGCAAUGAGGGCCAAGUGGCGUAAGAAGCGGAUGCGAAGGUUGAAGCGCAAGCGCAGGAAGAUGCGUGAGAGGUCCAAGUAGGCCGGACCCACGGGUGGCGAAUGACAAGCCCAGCUGUUGGCAGAGGGAGUGUGUCCCAAGACGCCGCCUUCACCUUCCUGGCUUGGCUGCACCACUAUCGCCUGGCUCCUGCAUCGGAUGGUGCCCUUGCUCUUACAUGACGGACCCAAGCUCUCGAAGUGCGCAAGGCACGCCUCUGGACAUUGGAUCAUCACUUUCGCCUCCAUUAAACACUCAUCCCACAAUGA
This 498-nucleotide long non-coding RNA is filed under the name Dermacentor andersoni. RNAcentral's name for it is "uncharacterized LOC126538842". The record is from RNAcentral. Lineage: Eukaryota; Metazoa; Arthropoda; Arachnida; Ixodida; Ixodidae.